Molecule: long non-coding RNA, 1836 nt
Filed under: Salvator merianae (Argentine black and white tegu)
Lineage: Eukaryota; Metazoa; Chordata; Lepidosauria; Squamata; Teiidae
Description: lncRNA (ENSSMRG00000010134.1)
Source: RNAcentral
AUGCAGGCCACAAGGCAGGGAAGUAAGAUCCGACUUUUUGUGCCUUUAACGCGAUCUCAGAUUUUCAAACACUUCUUCGGAACUGCCCGGUAUUACCUGGUUGAAAAUGCUGGAAUCAUAAAAAUGCAAAUAAAAUUUAGCAUGACUUCCCCUGUCGUCAUCACACGCCUCCCUCCAUCUCUCUCCCGACCCAAAGAAGAUUACGUCCUAAGAUUACCAACCCUCAUCGCCCGACACGCUAGUCACUGCGUGUUAUUUGAGGAAUCACGUCGGACUUCCACACGAGGCAGGGACGGGUUCGCGUCGCCUGAAGUAAACAGGAAAAGCCCCCCAGUCCCGAGGAAACAGAACGAGCUCCAGGAAAGCCGCACAGGUUACUCACUGAGGAAGAAGGAAGCGCAACUCCAGACCUCUCCCCAGCUGGGAAAAAAAACCUAUGCAGAGCGAGAUCCCCGUCCCCGCCCACUAGUUCUAACUUUUUUUUUUUUUUUUUUAAGAUUUAUCUCCUCUACCCCACCCCAACCUUGCUUCCUCCAGAAAGUAGGCGGUCUUCACUUCUUCCCCCUCCGGGGAAACCAAGCAGAGAGGAGAAGAAAGCAGACAAGACAAGGGAGACAUCGGGGCCACAAGCAGCGCGCGCCGCGCGGGCAGCUCUCGCAGUUCCCGCGCGCACGGCUCCGCCCCCCUGGGCUGCUGGGGGNNGGGGGGGGGGGGACACACAGCAAGGCUGGUUCGCCUGGCGGUGGGCGCGCGACCUGCUCCGGGACUGUCUCGCUUGCGCGCGAAACGCGAAACUCACACUCCCUUACCUUCACUUUUGCCUUUCUUCUUCUCUCAGCCAGAAGUUCUCGUGGCACUUGGGUAGAGGCGGCGGCGGCGGCGGCUUCCUAUGUUGUGGUCCCUUGUUGCCGCCCGCUCGCGCUCUCUCCAGGCCGUGUGGCCUCCCUCUCUGCUUCCUUUUCUCUCGCUCGCUUCUCUUUCGUCUUCCUCACACCCCUGACACGGGACGGAGGAGGAGCCGCUAGGGCAGGCGGGCGGGGAGGAGUUCCAAAAAGUCCCGUUGAGUUUGCAACGUGGUUGAGAGGGACCGGGAUGUGUCAGCGGCUUGUUGCCAGCAGCUAAACCGGGGGAGGGAAGGCGGGUAAGAAGAGAGGAGCGUAAACAGUUUGUUUUUCCUCCCCGCUGGGGGACCGACGAGCGAGGUCUUGCCUUGACCCCCGCAGUGGGGCUUCAUUUGAGCCUGGAUAUGCCCUAUAAUCCCUGUCGCGAUGGAGAAACCAAAUUGAAAAGGCUCUUGCGAGAAUUCUUACCUAAGUUUUAAUCCAGCUUCAUCCACCUUCGGAGUGGAAGAACACAUCAGCAAAGUGACUAGUCUUUUUUUUUCUUUUUACCUGAUCUAACCUAAAUGUGGGUUUUCUGAGUUAGAUAAUGCCGGAAGAAAACAGCUUGUCGCUUUGCAGAUGUGUUAUCGCACUCUGAAAGUGGACCAAGCUAGAAUGAAAUGUGGGUGUGAACGCAGCAUCAGCGCGGCUAGACUGUUGGGCUGGGAGCUGUGAAGCCAAGGCUUCAGAUCCCCCCACUUGAGCAGGAGCUCUGCUUGGGUGGCUUUUGCGAGCAGCUGCUUCAUAGGGUGGUUGCCGAGGAUAAAGGGCAGAGAAGGAAGAAUGAAAGCUGAACGGUUUAGAAGAAAAGUUGGGUAUAGGCACAAGCUGUGCAGGGAAAGAAGUAUAGGAGCGGCUUUCUCAUAUGAGAGCGUUCUGCCUUUUCCCGUCUUUAUCCUCACAAGAACCGUGUUGGGCAGUUUAGGCUCAGUGGCUGAUGCAAGCUCUUUCAGCU